This 484-nucleotide ribosomal RNA is filed under the name uncultured bacterium. RNAcentral describes it as "partial 16S ribosomal RNA". It matches the Rfam family "Bacterial small subunit ribosomal RNA", at positions 28 to 523 of the family's 1533-position model. The record is from RNAcentral.
GACGAACGCUGGCGGCGUGCUUAACACAUGCAAGUCGAACGAUGAUGCUGGAGCUUGCUCCAGUUGAUUAGUGGCGAACGGGUGAGUAACACGUGAGCAAUCUGCCCUUGACUCUGGGAUAACUGCGGGAAACUGUAGCUAAUACCGGAUACUUCCACCGGAAGGCAUCUUCUGGUGAUGAAAGAAUUUCGGUCAGGGAUGAGCUCGCGGCCUAUCAGCUUGUUGGUGAGGUAACGGCUCACCAAGGCGACGACGGGUAACCGGCCUGAGAGGGUGACCGGUCACACUGGGACUGAGACACGGCCCAGACUCCUACGGGAGGCAGCAGUGGGGAAUAUUGCACAAUGGGCGCAAGCCUGAUGCAGCAACGCCGCGUGAGGGAUGAAGGCCUUCGGGUUGUAAACCUCUUUCAGCAUCGACGAAGCGAAAGUGACGGUAGGUGCAGAAGAAGGACCGGCCAACUACGUGCCAGCCGCCGCGGUAA